This 266-nucleotide ribosomal RNA is filed under the name uncultured bacterium. RNAcentral's name for it is "partial 16S ribosomal RNA". It matches the Rfam family "Bacterial small subunit ribosomal RNA", at positions 793 to 1055 of the family's 1533-position model. The record is from RNAcentral.
GUCCACGCCGUAAACGAUGGGCACUAGGUGUCGGGGGUAUCCACUCCCUCGGUGCCGCCGCUAACGCAUUAAGUGCCCCGCCUGGGAAGUACGGUCGCAAGAUUAAAACUCAAAGGAAUUGACGGGGGCCCGCACAAGCGGUGGAGCAUGUGGUUCAAUUCGAUGCAACGCGAAGAACCUUACCUGUGUUUGACAUCUGGCGAAUCUCCGUGAAAGCGGAGAGUGCCCGCAAGGGAGCGCCAAGACAGGUGCUGCAUGGCUGUCGU